GAUGAACGCUGGCGGCGUGCCUAAUACAUGCAAGUCGAGCGAACGGACGAGAAGCUUGCUUCUCUGAUGUUAGCGGCGGACGGGUGAGUAACACGUGGAUAACCUACCUAUAAGACUGGGAUAACUUCGGGAAACCGGAGCUAAUACCGGAUAAUAUUUUGAACCGCAUGGUUCAAAAGUGAAAGACGGUCUUGCUGUCACUUAUAGAUGGAUCCGCGCUGCAUUAGCUAGUUGGUAAGGUAACGGCUUACCAAGGCAACGAUGCAUAGCCGACCUGAGAGGGGGAUCGGCAAAAUGGAAACGGAAACAGGGUCCGAACCCCUACAGAGGGAAGCAGAGGGGAAUCUUCCGCAAGGGGCGAAGGCCGAACGGGGCAAGGCGGGGGAGGUGAGAAGGGUCUUCGGAUCGUAAAACGUGGUUAUUAGGAAGAAACAAAGGGGAAGUAACUGUGCACAUCUUGACGGUACCUAAUCAGAAAGCCACGGCUAACUACGUG
Molecule: ribosomal RNA, 496 nt
Filed under: uncultured bacterium
Lineage: Bacteria
Description: partial 16S ribosomal RNA
Rfam family: Bacterial small subunit ribosomal RNA
Source: RNAcentral